AUGUUUAUCUGGCAUGUGUCUGUAGAACUGGUAAUGCUCAGAAACAAAGACGAGCUGCAGACAGACACAGUGGCCAUGACAGGACAGCUGCCCCCGCGGGGACAGCUCCGAGCCUGCAGCCUCUGGCUGGCUCAGGCCGGUCUGUCCGGUCUUAUCCGGGCCACUAGGCACAGGAGCUGCCAUCACCACUGCCCCCCAUUUGCGAUUCUAUCUCCUCAUUUAGGGGAACGACAAGAAAUGGCCACCAACCCGCUGACCCCCUCCCGCAUCCAGGAUGGGGCGCAGCUGGCUGACUGUGAGGUGCCUGCAUCCCUCCUGGUAGGUGAGGUCCGACCACCUCAUCCACCUGGGCCUCGGGCCUGCCCCACCCUCCCUUUGUUCACACGUGGCUGUAAUCCACACGUGUGUCUGCACUUUCGUUCUGCCCACAGAGAGAUGCCGUCCAUGGUGACCUGCUGUGUGCUCCCAGAGCCCCCCUUCCUCCAGGGAGCCACUCCCAGAUGCUGGGGCCACCCUCUGGGUCUCUGCUUCCUUCGCUGCACAUCCAGCCUCUUCCCACUGAUCCUGGGGGUCUCCACCCUGAGCAUCUGUGCUGUCACCCCAGUCAAGCCUACGGAGCCUGGGACCAGGACUGCCUCCCGGAGCUGUGACCUCCCUUCCCUCAUGCCUGGUUGGCACAUCACACAAACCAACCCUGUUCAGGUUUUCAGGUUCACAUCAUACCCGCAGCUUCUCAGCUCAUACGACAUAAAUGCCCAAGUCCCACCGGACACGCGGCCCUUGGAUGUGGAUCAGGAAGAGGCUCUAAAGGCCGUAGUGCGGGGGAGCACCCCAGGGCAUCACCCGUCCAGGGAGGGCUGUGUCACAGAGCUGACUGGCGACACGCAUGGGUCACCUGUGCUGACGCAGAUUCGCCAUGAAGUGCUCACCAGUGCCAUCCUGACUGUCCACGAUCAAACACUGGCCUCCGUUACAAAUGCAGCAGCUGCAGUUCCCCAUGGAGGGAAGAGAGGUCAUCACAAGGAUGGGCCGUGCUGGAGCUCGAGCAGGCCAGGCCGCCCUGUCUGA
Molecule: long non-coding RNA, 1068 nt
Filed under: Canis lupus dingo (dingo)
Lineage: Eukaryota; Metazoa; Chordata; Mammalia; Carnivora; Canidae
Description: lncRNA (ENSCAFG00020005011.1)
Source: RNAcentral